Molecule: long non-coding RNA, 12403 nt
Organism: Felis catus (domestic cat)
Lineage: Eukaryota; Metazoa; Chordata; Mammalia; Carnivora; Felidae
Exons: 2
Source: RefSeq, a predicted model, not a curated record
UUCAUGCUCUGUCUCUCUCUGUCCCAAAAAUAAACGUUCAAAAAAAAUAAUAAUACUAUAAAAAAAAUUAAAUUUUUCAGAACGCUACAAAUAUAAGUGAAAUUACAAAUUAAAGGUAGAUCGUAAAUGUGAAAAACAAUAAAAAAAGUAGAAGAAUAUUUUGUGACAUAGUUGUGCAAAAGGGCCUCACAAAUAAUUCUUUAUAAGUGAUGGAAUAAAAAUGAAGGGUUUAAUUAUAACAGUGAUUUUGUUCACUGUAGGGCACAGUGAUAAAUUUUAUGAACAUAAGACAGACUGAAAAUAAUUGCACUGUAUGAAAAUGACAAGAGAUCAAUGACUAAAUGUAUGAAAUAGUUGAGUGACUUAAAGACAACGUAAUGGAAUAUAAUACACAAAGGACUUAAAAAGUUUACAACAAAAGAAAACAAGCUAAAAAUAUGAAGUCAUGCUUAAACUAGUCAGAAAAUGUGAGAAUAAGAUAUUAUUUAUGAUGCUGAAAGAAGAAACAGUCGAUGCUAGUUGAGAGCAUAGAGCACAAAUGACUUUCAUAAAGCAGUUUCUAAAGAUGCAUUUCAGAGUGAAGGAAGAUAAUUUCAAGCUUAAGAGGCAAGAACAAAUGCAGAAAAAUAUUACAUAGCAUGCAUAUAUGUCUAUUUAAAUGAAACACUAUCUAAAAUGAUAACAGUAGGUUUGUCUAAUUUAGAUGCUUAAAAGGAAAAACUUAAGUUCUCAAAGAAAUAAGUAUGUGAGGGGGAGUGAUAAAAAUUAAUGUGUUCUAAGGUCACUUUAUUAUUUAUUAGAAGAAUCAAGAUAUCAUCAUCUCUCUUUACAUUUGUUAUUUGUAAAAUUCCUGGCAAAAUUUCAAGUUUCACAGUACAAAAAGAAGAGUAUAGAGCAUAAAUUUCAAACUAGAAAUUGAAAAAUUUAAAUAACAAAGAAAUCAACCUCCAAACUGAAACUAUAACUCAUCAUAAAAAAGGAAAUAGGCAAAUAGUGCACAAAAUAGACAAUGGAAAAAUUAGAAUGAUGGAAACCAGUAUAAAUAUGUUUUACUGUGAUUAUAAAUGGGCUAAAUGCAGGAAUGCAUUAAAGUGAAGACAAUGGUUGCUAAUUAGGGGGAAAAAUGCAGCUCUAUUCUGGCUAGUAUAUAUAUCCACACCUAAAGGUAAAAAUCAUGAAAAGUUGAAAUUAAAAAGAUUUAAGAAUAUUUUAGUCAAAUAUUAAUAAAAAACAAGGAUUAUAUGGCUAUGUAAAUAUAAAUAUUUGCUUCUAUAGACAAAAUGUUAAUAAUAAAGUUAUUAGGUAAGAGAAAAAUAAUUUAGGGAAGAUGGAGCAGUAUAAACUCAUAUGUUUAUAAGAUAAUAAUACAUAACUUGUAUGUAAUAAGAUUUAAGUUAUUAAGAAAAAUUGAUGUGGAGAGCAAUUCGUCAUCAUCUGAUAUGUAUAAACAAAUGCCUAAUGGAUCAGCUAUCCCUCACAGAGUAACUCAAAGUCUGGAGGGGCAGGGGGAUGGGUUAAAUGGGUAAUAGGUAUUAAGGAGGACACUUAUGAUGACCACUGAGUGUUGUAUAUAAAUGAUGAAUCACUAAAUUCUACGACUGAAAUUAAUAUUACACCCUAUGUUAACUAAUUGGAAUUUAAAUAAAAACCUGAAAGAAAAAAAAAAAGUCUGAGUUGAAUACAAAAACAAUUAGAACUACCUUGAAGGUUUGGAGUGUGAACCAAAGUUGACAAUUUCUGGAAUGCUAUCUAAGAAGGAUGGAUGAAGAAUGACUGCUAAUGGGUACAAGGAAGUUAUUUGGGGGAUGAUGAAAAUACUCUAAACUUAGAUGGAGGUGUUGAUUAUACAAUUCUGUCAGUAUCCUGGAAACUGCUAAAUUAUGUAUUUUGAAAAGGUGGACAUUAUGGUUGAGAAUUAUAUCUCAAUAAGCUGUUAUGCAUAUAUAAAAAUAAAAUUUCAAGACAAAAUCAUCAUGGGGAGAAUUUCUAUUUUUCUUUGAUUUUCAGCCUGAAAUUAGGUCUCAGCCACAGCCCUGUAUGGAAGAGAUAAGAUUCUGAUAUUGCACAGAUUCUGUUCUGGCCUAAGAACAAAAGAAAGAAUUUAGGUAACGAUGGCCUCUGGGAAUUGAGUAAGUUUAGGAAAGGAAAGCCAUCAAUGUUGAGCCCACAAUCUGCUUUGUAAACUCUGCUCAAGCUUCUAAUUGACCCUUGAAACAUGCAAGCAUGGAACACACUGAAAUGAGCCUACGAAGGGGUUGGGGGGAUAACAGAAAACACAGAAAAAAAUGAGAUUCAAGCCAAAAUGUCAACCAAGAAUUAAGGAGAAAUAAAGACAUUUUCAGAUGAAAGGAAAUCAAGAGAAUUCAUCUCCAGCAGAUGUGCCGUAUAAGAAAUGCUGAGGACAUUCUUCAAAUGAAGGGAAAUUGUGUCAGAGGCAAAAUUAAAUCUCCAGGAAUGAAUGAACAGCAUCAGAAAUAGCAUGUAUCGUGGUAGAGAUAAAAGAUAUUUUUUCUCCUCUUAGUUCCACUAAUAUGCACAUGUCCUUUCAAAGCAAAUUUAAUAAUAUACUAUAUAUGGAUCUAAUGCAUAUGAUCUAGGUAGCAUAAAACACAGUGAGAUUGGAAUAUGGAUCUAUACAGUGGCAAGGUACCUUUAUUUCACAGAAAGUAGAAUAACUUAAUGAAGUGUAUUAUGCAAAGUUAAGGAUAUAUAUUGUAAUACUUAAAGCAAACAAUAAUAAUAAGCACCAAAUAGGCAUAAGUAUAAAAAACUAAAAAGGAACUCUAAAAUAACAAAAAAGGCAGGAAAGGAGGAAUAGAAGCAAAAACUAAGGGGGAUUAACAAAGGAAAUUAAACAAAAAUAGUAGAUGUAAAUAUAGCCAUAGUAACAAUUUCAUUUAACGUUAGUGAAAUGAAAAUUGUUAGAAUGGACAAAAAAUUAAGUUCUAUCUAUGUUCUAUGUAUGAUAAAUCCCUUUUAAAUAUAAAGAAACAUGAUUUGAAAAUAAAUUGAAGGAAAAUUCUAUACCAUACAAACCAAAAGAAUAAGAAAGAUGGAAUGGCUACCUUAAUAUCAGAUAAAAUAAACUUCCAACACAAAAAGUAGUUUCUGAGACAAAGGGAACAGUGUUUAUAAUGAUAAAAGGAACAGUAUAUUUUCUGACCUCAAAUCUUAUUGUAAAACUAUUUUAUAAAUCAAAACAGAAUGGUAUUGACAUAAAGAUAAUAAGGAAAUCAGUAAGCUAGAAUAGAGAACCCUGGAAUAGAUUCUCACAUUUACAAUCAUUUGAUUUUUAACAAGGGCACCAAAUCAAUCCAUUGAAGAAAGGAACGCCUUUUCAACAACUGUGCUGGCAUAACGGGGUACCCACAGAGGGAAAAAAAUACAAAAAAUAAAUAAAAUAAAAAUUUGACCAUACUUCAAACUAUACACAAAACAUAAUUUUGAGAAUACUUGUUUUAAGUUUAUUUAUUUUGAGAGAGGGAGAGAGAGAGAGAGCAAGCUCUAGUGGGAAAGGGACAGAGAGAGAGGGAUAGAGAGAAUCCUAAGUAAGCUCUGCACUGUCAGCACAGAGUUUGACAGGGGGUCUGAUCCCAUGAACCAUGACUUCAUGACCUGAGCUGAAAUCAAGAGUCUGAAGCUUAACUGACUAAGCCACCCAGGCACCCUGAGAUUAAUUUAAUUGUAAAUUAGCCACAAUGCUUUCAAAGUAAAAGAUAAGACAUGAUCUUUAUGAUUAGGAGAUGUAUAAAGUUUUUCUAGAGAAUUUAUGGAAGUAAUCAUUCAUAUAUUUACAUAUAAUCUAUCUAUAUGUAUAAUAGAUUAUAUCAAAGUAUUAAUACCUUUAUAUAUAGAUUAUAUAGAUAUAUAAAUGUUUAUUUAUGAGAGAGAGAGAGAGAGAGAGAGCAAGCAGGGGAGGGGCAGAGAGAGAGGGAGACCCAGAAUCUGAUACAGGCUCCAGGCUGGGAGCUGUCAGCAGAGAGCCCAACGCGGGGCUCCAACUCAUGGACAGGGAGCUCAGACUUGAGCUGAAGUCUCACGCUUACCAGCUGAGCCACCCAGGUGCCCCUAGGCAAUGUAUCUUAAGACCAUAAUGAAAUGCCACCUCACAUCCACCAGAAUUACUAACGUGGUAAAGAUGUAAAACAACUGGAUAUUUCAUAUAAAACUGAGCAUGAACAUUUAAACAUUUCUUGUGAAAUCCACACUUUGAUCCAGCAGUUCCACUCUUGCGUAGUUACCCAAGAAAAUGGAAAAUGUAUUCCAUAGAUUUCUACAGAAGCUUUCUUUUAAUAUCCAAAUCCUGGAAACAACUUUGGUAUCCAACAAUAGAAGAUUGAAGUAUGUUUACACAAAAUACACAGCAAACUGAAAGACUCUCAAAAUCUUAUGCUAAGAUAAGCUUUUUGCAUAGAGCAAUACUGUGUGUUUCCAUUUAUAUGGAGUUCCUAAAAUUGAUGCAUGUUUAACAAAUGUGUAUAGCUAAAUGUUUAUGACAAAUCUAGGGUGUGGUUUUAUAUGUGCUCACUAUAAAAUUCUUUCAACUUUAGUAAAUGCUUGAAUAUUUUCAUAAUAAUAAUUUCUUUUUUUUACAUGGUGCCAGGGUUUAUUUGCUUCUCCUCUAACAGAGUGAAAGAUCCCACUAAGUUAUUUUAUUAUUUUUUUUAAAUAUGAAAUUUAUUGUCAAAUUGGUUUCCAUACAACAUCUAGUGCUCAUCCCAACAGGUGCCCUCCUCAAUACUCAUUACCCAUCCCCCUCUCCCUCCCAACCCCCAUCAACCCUCAGUUUGUUCUCAGUUUUUAAUAAGAAUCUUAUAAUUUGAUAGAAAAGAAACAAGACAGAAAUUUCUAUACUCAUAUGUCACACAGGAAUUGCCAAAGAAAUAAAACAGUAUGUUUUUAGUUCUCAUCAUUGUUUGUUUGUUUUGUUUUGUUUUGUUUUUAAUCCAUAAACAGCAACAUUUAACAUUGACAAGUUGAGUUGAUAUUUUCUUUACUUGGCUUAUAAGAAACUACAUGCUCUCUCUCUCUUUUUUUUUCUUGGCAUUAUUUUACUGAGAACUACUUAAUUUUCUUUGCUGAAUCAUUUCAUGGUUUUUUUAGUCAUUGGGGUAUCCUAGAAUUAAGAAGUUCUCUUUUCUAUUUACAAAUAUUAUCUUGGUAAACUCUAUUUGGUCUCUUGCCAUAAAAUGCUAUCUACAUAUUGUCAACUCACAGUUGUAUAUCUCUUGACCAUAUCUCUCUUCUAAACUCCAGACUUUUCCUACUAGGUAUCUCUGUUACUGUCUGGAUAUCUAAUUGUCAUCAAAAACUUAAUAAUCCAUACUGAACCACUGGUGUUUUCUGAAAUAUUCUAUAUCUGUAGUCCUUCCUUAAUUAUAAUAUCAUCCUUAUUAUUGACCAAGCCAAAAUUAUCAGAGUCCUACUUUAUUAUUCUUUCUUUUUCUCUCAAACCCAGUCCUAUUGACAGAAUAGUCCACUAUCUAUCUUCAAAAUAUAUUCAGAACCUAGCCACUCAUCUCUAUCUCCGUUUCUAGGACCGUGGUUUUACUCACCAUCAUUUCUGCAUGGACUCCUGCACUUAACUAAUAACUGCCUCCUUCUACCAAGUCUAUUCUCAAUAGAGUGGAGUAAUACUAUGAAAACAGAAAGCAGAUCAUGUCAUAACUCACCAUUUCCUGUUUUGCUUUCCAAACCGGGUUGAAGAAAUAUGUGCCCUCUGACAAUGUGAUUGACUCUGCUCCCAACAAGAGGUGUGGUCUUCGUUUGCUCCCCUUCAAUCUCAGCAGAAGCUUGUGACUGUUCAUGUUAAUAGAGGAUGGCAAAGUUAUGAUAAGCAGUUCUGAAGCUUGGUUAUAAAAAUCAUAAAGCUUCCACCUGACUUCUUAUUCUUAUGAAAGGUACCAUUGGACACCUGAGCUGACAUGUAAAAAGUCCAAAUACUGUGAAAUAAAGAUGCCUAAGGAGGUUCAGCAGCCCUAGUUCUUAGCUCUUUUGGGUUUCCCCAGCACCAACCACCAGACUUGUAAGCGAAUAUGUUUUCAGAUGAUUCCACCUCUUGGUCUUUAAACUUCAGCAGAAGAUGCCAAGUGGAGCAGAGACCAACCUUUCCUGCUGUGCCUUGUCCAAAUUGCUGGCUCACAGAAUCUCUGAGCAUAAUCUAUAGUUGUUAAUUUAGCUAAAACUGGAAACUCUGUUUCCCAUAUUUCUUUUUCAUGUAUAUUUAUAAGCUGGAAUUGAUAAGAAUUGACAGUCAGAAAUAAAGAAACCAUUACUUUCUAAAGAUCUCAGGAGCAGAUCAGGUUGAGAGAGAAACAGAGGUUUACAGCAGAUUCCAGAAUCCAGGGAGUAUCCCAAAGUACUGGCCCCAGGCAACCAGGAGUGGACCCAAGUCAACUGACAAGCCCUUCACACAAGUGUCUUUAAAGGCAGCAAAUUCCACCAAUCUCUACCAGUUUGCCCUUGAUGGUUUCACCUGACAGCCAGCUAUGUAUGACUUUGAGGAUUUCCCUUGAAGCUCAACUCUGCCUGACUACAGUGACUCAGGCUGUUAUUGACAGUGAUUGUAGCUUCUCUUUCAAUUCUCACCUUUCUGACUUUCACUUACCCAGUUCCUUUCACGUUCAUGUAAAUUCUAAUUUCUAUAGUAUUCUCUUUAACCUGACAAAAUUUUUGGUAGUUCUAUUGUCCUGAUUAAACUCUAAUGCAACUAUGAAUUUAUCAUUUACUGUAUUAAAAUAUCUAUGACAAAUAUAAAUUUGUUUUUACCUCUCUGGCUUAUAUUAGAGGCUAUAUGGUUAAAUAAGAGAUCUUAAAGAAAUCCACAAAUCAAACAAUGUGAAUUAAACCUUUCAUGAUUUUAAUGCAGUAGGGCUAGUAAACUUUUUUUUGUAAAGGGUCAGAUAAUGAAUCUUUUAAAGUUUGUAGGCCUUUAUAAUCUCUGUUGCAGAAACUCAACCCUGCAAGUGCAAUACUAAAUCAGCCAUAGACAGUACAUGAAUAAAUGACUGUCACUGUGAUCUAAUGAAAUGUAAACAACAACAACAACAAAUAACUGUUAAUAGGCCAGAAUUGCUCUAUGGAUCACUGUUUGCUAAACUGUGGUUUAUAGAAUCAUGUUGAAACAACUAAAAAGAGAAGAAUCUGAGAAUCUCUUCUACUUUGGAUUCUACUCUAUUUCAAAAUUCACAAAACUGCUGUGUGCUAAAGCAUAUUUUAUUACACUUUCCUGCCUUAGUCAUUCAUUAUGUCCUAAUUUCUGACACAGAUGUGUCUUUCUUCUGACACUAAAUAACGUAGAUACUACACUUCUACUUUUGAAAUACUCAUUUCCAAUUAAAGUCUAAUUCCACAUAUCAAUUGACAAAUUACAUUGACUUAAAUUCUCACAAUCUCGUGUGUAUCCACUCAUUAUAUGCUCCAAAUAUCCUCCUGUACUUACUAUGGAAGCCUGGUAAAUGUGUGGGAUCCCCCUAUGGUGAAAUGUCAAGGGAAAUAGUGGUACAUGAAAUUCAAAUUGAUGCGGCCCCACAGUACUGAACUUUAGCUUGUCAAACAAUUGUAAGGAUUUAUUCCCUUUGCUCCAUGCUAAUAAUACAGCACUUAUGGAGUGAAAAAUAGAAAGAAUAAAUGAAACUAGUGUUCAAAGAGCCUGAAGAAUUUGUUAACAUUCACAUCUUGUGGACUUCACCUCUUUUAGGCAAUGAAAUCUCAGAUUUAUUUGGUUACCCAUAGAAGAAAACAAAUUACUGUGGCAUUCCUGAAACAUUUGUAAUUCUUUCCACAGGCGGCUUUAGAGCUUCUCCUUCAUUAAGACUGCAUUCUGUAGCUGCUGUGGUCUGUUAAAGUCACAGUAAACACUGCUGACAACCAGCUGUUCCUUUCUCGUACCAUAACCGAACUGCUUAAGGUAGAUCAUCACUUGGCUUAAAUCCACAUAUGUUAUUUUUGCCACUCAACAAUAAAAAUAUUAAUCUACAAAUAUUCCUAAUGUGAAUCUUGAGUAAUAUGACAUACUUCCCUGAGAGAAUUACAUUUCGAGUUACAAAAUCCAUUCUUAAUUAUACAUGAGAGUUAAAAUACUACUGAAUAUUUAUAUUCCUAUGUUUUGACUUUGAAUGGUGACUGGUUAAGAGGAUUUGUUUUUUUUUCCCUCCAUGUGACGUGACAUUAUUAAAAAAUUUAAAGCACUAUCAGUCAACUACAGCUGUUGAUUGUUCAAUUACACUGAGCUUAAAUUUUAGGCAUUAAAGUGAAUGUCAUCCUUCUUCCCAAGUAAAUAAUGAUACUUCCAUCUUUGAAUUCAAUUCGUGCAGAUAUUUUUAAUCUGAAGUUCACUGAGAUACAUGGACAUAUUUUAGCGUUUAAAUCCUCUGAAAUCAUAUGCACAAUUGCUCAUGCCAUUUUGUUUUUCUUUUAGGAAAAAAAAAGUCUGCAGAUUGAUAUCAGUAGAUUAAAAAAUGGAACCAUGAGUCAAACUUAUCAGUAAUAGAAAAAUGAUUGCUAUAACUUUAUGACUGAAAUAACUUCUAAUUUUUCUCUAUGUUUCAACUCGAUUUUGGUAACUUGAACUCAAAAUUAUUCUGUUUCUGGAUUUAAAGCCUUUAAAUUAACAUUUAAAGACAAUUUUCAUAUCACAUGCAGAAAGGUAUUGAAUAAUAUUUAAAAGAAAUGACAGCAGACCUAUAUCAUUUGCUAAAAUCAAUCAAUAACAUUAUGUGAUAAAUGAAUAUAUUGUAAGACAGAAUUUUUCAUUAUGUUUCUAAUAAUGACAUGUGACCCUGUGAUACAGGACAGCUACAAAAACUUGUUGUCAGUGUUGUGAUGUAAUCAAGCUUUUCAAAGGUCUGUACCAGAGCACCAACUGUUGUUUUUCUUUUUUACUAUAUGCCAUUUGUAAAAGCCCCAACAAGGUUUUGUUGGCUGCUUGAUUGAUUUUGUUGUUUAGAUGGCUUUCUCCUUCAGAGUAUUUUUAAACCAUGACGUCAAGUCUUUGGAGCCUGCUCAUCUAGCAAAUAGGUCUGGGUUAGGCUAGAAGAGAGCUAAUAGGGCAUAUUUCUAAUUAUCCUUAUAUCACAUUCAAAUUAAAAAUAAAAUAGGAUCCAGUUUCAAAAGACUGAAUAGAAGAAAAGAUGGUUAACCUUCCUGUACCUUUAGUUUUAUCAUUUGUAAAAUCUCUUCUAGCUUGAAAAUGCUAUGAUUUCAGUUUCAAGAAACAUCCAGCAAGUGAAUCAUAAGAACAAUACCGCAUUGAUCAGGAUAAUGGUUUGAGUAGGAAGUAAUAAUGAGUGUUGAUGACCCCCUCAGAGGACCCAAGCUAUUAAACAUCUAAGGUCAAUUUCAACCAUCAGAUAUUUUCACUUCAACUACCAAGUGAAUUUAUUUGAGCAGAAUCUGGGCCUGUGUACUUGAAUCAAUAAUAUACAAUGAACACAGAGUUAUGAUGUCUCAUGCUAAUGAAGCAGAGAACCGAUCUUUAUUCUUCAGGCUUAUUGGAUUGACCUAAGAACAGGACUUGCUAAAUUUUAUAAUUGGUGGAUGAUCUACUCUUCACUGUUAUAGAACAAGACAGAAAAAUAAAGACUCCAGUAGAGGUAUAUCAGAGGUAUCAAUCUUCUGAUGUGAAAUAAAUAUGUAAGUGCUUCCAAACUGAGAUGGUCUGCUGAAAAAGAACAUAACUUCUGUUAGAGUUUAACUAUAUUGCAACAUUUGGCUAUAUAUUCCCUAUUAAAUGUACAGAAAUUUUAAUUAUGGAAGUUCAUUUUCCUUUCAUUUAUAUAUUUCAUACCAGAAGAAUCAACACCUUUUUUCAGUGAAAUAGCACAAAUGAACGUUAGUAUUUAGAAAUAUAUUUAGCUACAAUUGUCAAUGCUAUUAAAGUAAUAUAAAAAUGCUAAUGAGGAAGAUACUUCCAUCAAAAUAUAUUUAAAAGUAAGCCUCAGUGAUUAAGAUUAAUAAAUACAAAUAUAAUACAAAACACCCACAGACAAGAAUUACAAAUAUAAGAGGUGGAAAUCAUUAUAUCUCUUCUCUUUGUCAUCCAUUAUGGUCAGUUAGAAUGUGCUUCUAGAUCACCUUUACUGGAAUAACUAUCUUAAGAUUUUUUUGUUGUCUUUAAUUUAAGACUUUUGAGAAUCAUGGUUUACUAUUGCAAGGUAGAAGCUAUGAGCAUUGAUUAUAUUAAUGAAUACAAAAAUUGAACAUCUAAACUGAUUUACAUUUUAAACUAUAUCUACUUAUUGAAGAAAAAAAGUAGAUCUAAAAUAUGGAAAAAAGAGAAGAUGAAAGUGAUUUUGUGUGAGAGGAUCUACCAUUAUAAAUAAGCCUUUGAAAAAAUAAAUGCAGUUGUGACUCAGUCGGUUAAGCAUUGACUCUUGAUUUUGGCUCACAUCAUGGUACCACGUGAGAUAAAGCCCUGUGUUGGACUAUGCACUGACAGGGCAAAGCCUUCUUGGGAUUCUCUGUCCCUUCCCCACUCAACAUGUUCUUACUCUCUCUCUCUCAAAAGAAAUAAACAUUGAAAAAAAGAAAAAAGAAAUGAUAAAGAGGAUAUUUGGGUGCUUUUCCAUGGGUGCAUCUCACGAUGCAGUUCCUCUUUUUUGAGCCUUUUCAGGGAAAAUGGAGAAUAUUUUAAUUGUUUUAUAAUACUUUUUAGAUACCUGAUUUAAUUUUUAAUAGAAAACCAAGAAAAGUUAUCCCUAUGAUUAUAUUGUUGUUUUUUUUAACUUACUAAGAGUAACAUAAGAUUUGGGGGAGGAGGAACCUCAAUCUUUAAGUAACAUAAAAUUUUGGGGGAGGAGGAGCCUCAAUCUUUAAAAACUGAUUCAGUUCAAAAGUCUCAUUUUAUUUGUGAAAAAUAUAUGCAAAAAUUAACUUUAUUGAAGUAUAACAUUAAGUAAAUUAAAAAUUUUGCUUUCCAUUUUAGUGUUUUUCCCUAAUUUCAGAGUUACCUGUGUCUGAGAAUCUGAUAAUGAGAUAGGAAUUAGAAAGUGUUAUAAUCUCAAGUAUGACACCCUUCAAAUCCUGACUAAAUUACCUUGAUUCUUUUCAUACAAGAGAACCAUAACAUCAAAACUGGAAGCUGAAAUAUCCUUCAACUGUUGAAUGAUAACCUACUAUGGUACAUGAAAUAAUAUAUGGAAUACUAUUCAGCAAUAAAGAGGAAUGAACUAUUGAUACACAAAUCAACAUAGAUGAAUUUCAAAUGCAUUACAAGUGAAAGAAGUCAGACUCGAAAGUGUACAUAUUAUGAUUCCAUUUGACAUUCUGUAAAAGUUAAAAUUAUAGUGACAGAGAACAUUCCUGCUUUCCAUGGUUUGAGGAUAAGUGGAGUGGUUGAAUCAAGGAGAAGGAUAACAGAAUUUUUUUGCAUGAUGGAACUAUUUUGUAUCUUGAUUGUGAUGGCAUAUGUUACAUGAUUUUAUAUAUUUAUCAAAAGUCAUAGAACUGUCCACUAAAGAGAAUGAACUUCUUGAAUGCAAAUUUAAAACAAUAAAUUAAGUUGCACAGCUAAAGUACUUUUCAUAGUCUAUGUAGUUUUCAUGAAAAAUUUAUGCUUUGUUAAUUUAGUGAGUACACUAUAAUUUAUUGAACUUUCACUUUAUUGAUGAAUACUUAGCUAACUUCUGAUAUUUCAGUGUUAUAGCUCUGCAUUGGGUUUCCUUAAAUAUGUUCUUUAAUGUUCAGAGCUUCUUUAAAACAUAAUGCCUAUUACCUUCUGAAGGGACUAAAUUGAAUGUCACAUGACUAAUGAUUAUAUUAUUUUUCCAUUAUCCUUAUCCCAGUUGGGCAUUUUCAUUCAUUUUUCCCCUUUUAAGUAAGAUAAAAUACAAAGAAUAUAAAAUUUGCCAUCUUAACCAUUUAAAGUGUACAGUUGUAAUGUUACUACAUUCAAACUGUUGUGUAAUCACAGAAAAUCACAGAAAUUACCAGAACUCAUUUCAUGUUGCACACCUAAAACUCUAUACCCACUAAACAAUAACUCCUCAUUCUCUUCUCCACCUAGCCUCUGGAAACCACCAUUCUACUUUCUAUGAUUUAAACUACUCUAAGUACUUUAUGUAAAUAGAAUUAUAUAGUAUUUAUCUUCUUGAGAAUGGCUUAUUCACUUACUAUAAUGUCUUUAAGGUUAAUGCAUAUUAUAACAUAUGUGACAAUUUUCUUCCUUUUUAGUGCUGAAUAGUAUUUUAGUUUAUGUAUGUAAAUGAUAUUUUGCUUAUCCAUUCAUCUGCCCAUUUGGGUUGUUUCCACAUUUUAGUUGCUAUGGAUAAUGCUACUAAGAACAUGGCUGUACAAAUAUCUCUUUGAGACCUUGCUUUCAAUGCUUAUGGCUAUACCCAGAAAUGCAAUUGUUGGCUCACAGGGUAACCCUAUUCUUAAUUUUUGAGGAACCAUUAUUUUUUUU